This 833-nucleotide ribosomal RNA is filed under the name uncultured bacterium. RNAcentral's name for it is "bacterial SSU rRNA". It matches the Rfam family "Bacterial small subunit ribosomal RNA", at positions 62 to 907 of the family's 1533-position model. The record is from RNAcentral.
UUGAGCGGAGAUAUAUGGAGCUUGCUUUAUAUAACUUAGCAGCGAACGGGUGAGUAACACGUAGAUAAUCUAUCCUAUACUGGGGGAUAGCCCGAUGAAAGUUGGAUUAAUACCGCAUAUAGCUAUAUAGUUGCAUGAUUAUGUAGUGAAAGAUUUAUUGGUAUAGGAGGAGUCUGCGGCACAUUAGCUAGUAGGUGAGGUAAAGGCUUACCUAGGCGACGAUGUGUAGCCGGUCUGAGAGGAUGAACGGCCACAAUGGAACUGAGACACGGUCCAUACUCCUACGGGAGGCAGCAGUGGGGAAUAUUGCACAAUGGGGGAAACCCUGAUGCAGCAACGCCGCGUGAGUGAAGAAGGUUUUCGGAUUGUAAAGCUCUGUUAGCAGGGAAGAGGAAGGACGGUACCUGCAGAGGAAGCCACGGCUAACUACGUGCCAGCAGCCGCGGUAAUACGUAGGUGGCAAGCGUUGUUCGGAAUAACUGGGCGUAAAGGAUGCGUAGGCGGUUAAACAAGUUAUAUGUUAAAUAUAUAGGCUUAACCUGUAGAAAGCAUAUAAAACUGUUUAACUAGAGUGCAGGAGAGGUAAGUGGAAUUCCUAGUGUAGCGGUGAAAUGCGUAGAGAUUAGGAAGAACACCAGUGGCGAAGGCGACUUACUGGACUGUAACUGACGCUGAGGCAUGAGAGCAUGGGGAGCAAACAGGAUUAGAUACCCUGGUAGUCCAUGCUGUAAACGAUGGGUACUAGGUGUGGGUUGUGAAUAACAAUUCGUGCCGUCGCAAACGCAAUAAGUACCCCGCCUGAAGAGUACGAUCGCAAGAUUAAAACUCAAAGG